GAUGAAGAACGCAGCGAAAUGCGAUAAGUAAUGCGAAUUGCAGAAUUCCAGUGAGUCAUCGAGUCUUUGAACGCACAUUGCGCCCCCUGGCAUUCCGGGGGGCAUGCCUGUCCGAGCGUCAUUGCUGCCCUUCAAGCCCGGCUUGUGUGUUGGGUCGUCGUCCCCCCCGGGGGACGGGCCCGAAAGGCAGCGGCGGCACCGCGUCCGGUCCUCGAGCGUAUGGGGCUUUGUCACCCGCUCGAUUAGGGCCGGCCGGGCGCCAGCCAGCGUCUCCAACCUUCUAUUUUACCAGGUUGACCUCGGAUCAGGUAGGGAUACCCGCUGAACUUAAGCAUAUCAAUAAGCGGAGGA
This 351-nucleotide unclassified non-coding RNA is filed under the name soil metagenome. RNAcentral's name for it is "partial contains 5.8S ribosomal RNA, internal transcribed spacer 2, and large subunit ribosomal RNA". The stretch from base 1 to 121 matches the Rfam family "5.8S ribosomal RNA", at positions 35 to 154 of the family's 154-position model. The record is from RNAcentral.